GCAAGUCGAGCGGAAACGACACUAACAAUCCUUCGGGUGCGUUAAUGGGCGUCGAGCGGCGGACGGGUGAGUAAUGCCUAGGAAAUUGCCUUGAUGUGGGGGAUAACCAUUGGAAACGAUGGCUAAUACCGCAUAAUGCCUACGGGCCAAAGAGGGGGACCUUUGGGCCUCUCGCGUCAAGAUAUGCCUAGGUGGGAUUAGCUAGUUGGUGAGGUAAUGGCUCACCAAGGCGACGAUCAAUAGCCGACCUGAGAGGGUGAUC
This 262-nucleotide ribosomal RNA is filed under the name uncultured bacterium. RNAcentral's name for it is "partial 16S ribosomal RNA". It matches the Rfam family "Bacterial small subunit ribosomal RNA", at positions 57 to 305 of the family's 1533-position model. The record is from RNAcentral.